UGAUGGCAGAGAGGUCACACCCGUUCCCAUACCGAACACGGAAGUUAAGCUCUCUAGCGCCGAUGGUAGUUGGGACCUUGUCCCUGUGAGAGUAGGACAUCGCCAAGC
RNAcentral lists this ribosomal RNA (108 nucleotides) under Bacillus cereus. Lineage: Bacteria; Bacillati; Bacillota; Bacilli; Caryophanales; Bacillaceae. The record is from RNAcentral.